Molecule: transfer RNA, 74 nt
Filed under: Vanderwaltozyma polyspora
Lineage: Eukaryota; Fungi; Ascomycota; Saccharomycetes; Saccharomycetales; Saccharomycetaceae
Description: transfer RNA-Val
Rfam family: tRNA
About the family: Transfer RNA (tRNA) molecules are approximately 80 nucleotides in length. Their secondary structure includes four short double-helical elements and three loops (D, anti-codon, and T loops). Further hydrogen bonds mediate the characteristic L-shaped molecular structure. tRNAs have two regions of fundamental functional importance: the anti-codon, which is responsible for specific mRNA codon recognition, and the 3' end, to which the tRNAs corresponding amino acid is attached (by aminoacyl-tRNA synthetases). tRNAs cope with the degeneracy of the genetic code in two manners: having more than one tRNA (with a specific anti-codon) for a particular amino acid; and 'wobble' base-pairing, i.e. permitting non-standard base-pairing at the 3rd anti-codon position.
Source: RNAcentral
AAGAGAUUAGCUUAAUUGGUUAGAGCAUUCGUUUUACACACGAAAGGUUAUAAGUUCAAAUCUUAUAUUUCUUA